UGAGCCAAGUUUAGGGUUUUCUCAAAACCCAAGCAGUAUUGAACUGAAGAGUUUGAUCAUGGCUCAGAUUGAACGCUGGCGGCAGGCCUAACACAUGCAAGUCGAGCGGAUGAAGGGAGCUUGCUCCUGGAUUCAGCGGCGGACGGGUGAGUAAUGCCUAGGAAUCUGCCUGGUAGUGGGGGAU
Molecule: ribosomal RNA, 184 nt
Filed under: Pseudomonas aeruginosa
Lineage: Bacteria; Pseudomonadati; Pseudomonadota; Gammaproteobacteria; Pseudomonadales; Pseudomonadaceae
Description: partial 16S ribosomal RNA
Rfam family: Bacterial small subunit ribosomal RNA (bases 41-184)
Source: RNAcentral